AGAAUUGAAGUAUAAUUACAUUCGGUUUCGACCCGAAAAUUGGUCUAUCACCCGUUUCUG
This 60-nucleotide transfer RNA is filed under the name Pseudoniphargus gorbeanus. RNAcentral's name for it is "tRNA-Arg". Lineage: Eukaryota; Metazoa; Arthropoda; Malacostraca; Amphipoda; Allocrangonyctidae. The record is from RNAcentral.